AUUGAACGCUGGCGGCAGGCUUAACACAUGCAAGUCGAGCGGGGGAAGGUAGCUUGCUACUGGACCUAGCGGCGGACGGGUGAGUAAUGCUUAGGAAUCUGCCUAUUAGUGGGGGACAACAUCUCGAAAGGGAUGCUAAUACCGCAUACGUCCUACGGGAGAAAGCAGGGGAUCUUCGGACCUUGCGCUAAUAGAUGAGCCUAAGUCGGAUUAGCUAGUUGGUGGGGUAAAGGCCUACCAAGGCGACAAUCUGUAGCGGGUCUGAGAGGAUGGUCCGCCACACUGGGACUGAGACACGGCCCAGACUCCUACGGGAGGCAGCAGUGGGGAAUAUUGGACAAUGGGGGGAACCCUGAUCCAGCCAUGCCGCGUGUGUGAAGAAGGCCUUAUGGUUGUAAAGCACUUUAAGCGAGGAGGAGGCUACUUUAGUUAAUACCUAGAGAUAGUGGACGUUACUCGCAGAAUAAGCACCGGCUAACUCUGUGCCAGCCGCCGCCGUAA
This 501-nucleotide ribosomal RNA is filed under the name uncultured bacterium. Its description in RNAcentral is "partial 16S ribosomal RNA". It matches the Rfam family "Bacterial small subunit ribosomal RNA", at positions 30 to 523 of the family's 1533-position model. The record is from RNAcentral.